RNAcentral lists this long non-coding RNA (166 nucleotides) under Felis catus (domestic cat). RNAcentral describes it as "lncRNA (ENSFCAG00000051097.1)". Lineage: Eukaryota; Metazoa; Chordata; Mammalia; Carnivora; Felidae. The record is from RNAcentral.
UGUGCCAAGUGCAUUGGGAGCAAGGAGGUGGGACUGUCUAGGUCUGCUUGAGGGGAUGGAAGGGUCACAGAGACAAGGAAGACCUGGGACUUGAAGGGCCAUUAGCGCCAGGUGCCUCUGCACUUAUUUGUCUCCUCUGGCCAUGCACGUAUUGAUUAAAGAUAAG